Molecule: long non-coding RNA, 1748 nt
Filed under: Nicotiana benthamiana
Lineage: Eukaryota; Viridiplantae; Streptophyta; Magnoliopsida; Solanales; Solanaceae
Description: long non-coding RNA (NBEN_LNC031638)
Source: RNAcentral
GUGUUCAUUUGGCUUCUCUUCCCCUAUAAGCCGUUUUGUUUCAAGACUCUUUCUUCCUUUAUUUGCAGCUAAUAGUGUAACAUCGAGAUUCCUUACAAACAACUCAUAUUACGUCCAUCUGAGAAAAUAACAUUUUUUAGGCUGUCAAAAUUUACAUUACUUUAGGUAAUGGCAAACUUUAGGUUCCGAAGAUCUUUAUGUUUUUACAAGGUAAAUAAUUAUAUUAAUAAUGAGAGAAUCUCCCAUCUAUAUGUAAUCUACCAAAAAGUGGAAAAUUCACAACAAAACAAUUUAGUUGAAGGAAUUUGUCUUUCUCUAUUUUUUAUAACUUCACCAAGGGCUAGUGGCGCAUGGCGCACGGUUCGAAGCUCAGUGGAUCAUCCUUUACCCUUCUCCACUUAGAUACCAAGCCUUUGCCUGUAACAGAUACGAACCCGUGACAUGCAUCUAACCCGCACAACAUGUGUUGCGCUUUUACCCCUAGAUCAAAGCUUUUCGAGUUCUUGGAGGAACUUGUUAUUAUGCAUAUUUUAACUAUCAUAUUUUAGCUGUACUCGUUAAAGCCUCUUUGAUUAAAAAGUGAAUUUUCUUUACAUCCAUAGUUAUGUUCUAAGUAAUUUGGCUCAAAAAUCGUUUCCGAACAAAAUAUAAUAUAAUAAACUGAUUUUCUAAAAUCUGAUCAAGAGUGUCAAGACAGUGUGUUUUCACUACUCUUGGUUUGAUUUUGAACAAAAUAUAAUAUACUAAACUGAUUUUCUAAAAUCUGAUCAAGAGUGUCAACCCUACCAAGACAGUGUGUUUUCACUACUCUUGGUUUGAUUUUUGUUUUAAAAUUUGAAGCCAUUAUGAUUGGUUUGGACUUGGUCUUAGACACAAACUGGGCCACCUGAAAUAUGCACACCAUAAAGUAAGCAAGCAACAUCAGAUUCAUCAUUUCAUAUCAUGGCAAUGAUCAUAUCACCAUCAAUCUUAUCAUCUCCAGAGUACAUUUUUUAUUAGUAUAUAUUUUUUUAUGAGAAAGGUAAUAAUUUUUCAAUCAUAUAAUUCCCACCCUAUUAAUGAAACUAAGUGAAAAUUCAUGUUCUUAAUUUUUUAUUAAUAUAUUUUUUUUUAUGAGAAAGGUAAUAAUUUUUCAAUCAUAUAAUUCCCACCCUAUUAAUGAAUCUAAGUGAAAAUUCAUGUUCUUUGCUAGGUCAGAAGAACUCUGUUUUCCACAAAGUGCACAAACUAGAAUCAGAAAGGCAGAUAAGUAGAUAGCCAGAUGCACUGUCAGUCUGCACACCCGUACACAGAACUUUAUCUUUCUGAAUCUGUUAUAUUGAACAAUGACAUACAAAAGGGAAAAAGGGAAACAUUGAACAGCAGAAGAAAAAGAGGUGUGUCCAAAUAAUACCAAAGUUCAAUUUAAGAUAAACAACAGUAUUGAGAACCACAGCAUCUGUAAAGAGAAGAAGAUGAUACCCCUCUCAGAAACCAAAGGAACAAGUUGUAAUAACUUGAUGAUUUAAUUUUAGAUUGUCUUCAAGUAUUAAUACCCAAGUUGACGCAUUGGACAACAUUUUACUUAUCAAGAAACAGAAACAGGUCACCCAAAAAAAUGCAACGAACAAUAUUUUCAAAAUUAACAAGAAGCUUACUUCAGUGAUAUUCACCUAAUCUUAGUACAGAAUAAAGCAAUAUAGCAACAGAACCUACCAUUGCAAGUUGUUCAGCCAUAUGGUGGUUGACUUCCUCAAAGCUGUAAUUUC